AGAGUUUGAUCCUAGCUCAGGAUGAACGCUCGCUGUGUGCCUAAUACAUGCAUGUUGAACGGGAUGUAGCAAUACAUUCAGUAGCGAAUGGGUGAGUAACACGUACCUAACCUACCUUUAAGACUGGGAUAACUAUUGGAAACAAUAGCUAAUACCGGAUAUAGUUAUUUAUCGCAUGAUGAGUAAUAGAAAGGAGCUUCACAGCUUCACUUAAAAAUGGGGGUGCGGAACAUUAGUUAGUUGGUAGGGUAAUGGCCUACCAAGACGAUGAUGUUUAGCCGGGCCGAGAGGCUGUACGGCCACACUGGGACUGAGAUACGGCCCAGACUCCUACGGGAGGCAGCAGUAAGGAAUUUUCCACAAUGAGCGAAAGCUUGAUGGAGCGACACAGCGUGCAGGAUGAAGUUCUUCGGAAUGUAAACUGCUGUUAUAAGGGAAGAAAAAAUAGAAUAGGAAAUGAUUUUAUCUUGACGGUACCUUAUUAGAAAGCGACGGCAAACUAUGUGCCAGCAGCCGCGGUAAUACAUAGGUCGCAAGCGUUAUCCGGAAUUAUUGGGCGUAAAGCGUCCGUAGGUUUUUUGCUAAGUCUGGAGUUAAAUGCUGAAGCUCAACUUCAGUCCGCUUUGGAUACUGGCAAAAUAGAAUUAUAAAGAGGUUAGCGGAAUUCCUAGUGAAGCGGUGGAAUGCGUAGAUAUUAGGAAGAACACCAAUAGGCGAAGGCAGCUAACUGGUUAUAUAUUGACACUAAGGGACGAAAGCGUGGGGAGCAAACAGGAUUAGAUACCCUGGUAGUCCACGCCGUAAACGAUGAUCAUUAGUUGGUGGAAUAAUUUCACUAACGCAGCUAACGCGUUAAAUGAUCCGCCUGAAUAGUAUGCUCGCAAGAGUGAAACUUAAAGGAAUUGACGGGAACCCGCACAAGCGGUGG
RNAcentral lists this ribosomal RNA (928 nucleotides) under Confluentibacter citreus. Its description in RNAcentral is "bacterial SSU rRNA". It matches the Rfam family "Bacterial small subunit ribosomal RNA", at positions 8 to 935 of the family's 1533-position model. Lineage: Bacteria; Pseudomonadati; Bacteroidota; Flavobacteriia; Flavobacteriales; Flavobacteriaceae. The record is from RNAcentral.